Molecule: long non-coding RNA, 275 nt
Organism: Choloepus didactylus (southern two-toed sloth)
Lineage: Eukaryota; Metazoa; Chordata; Mammalia; Pilosa; Megalonychidae
Exons: 3
Source: RefSeq, a predicted model, not a curated record
AGUCAUAGCUCCCUGAUUCUUCUGCAGAGAGGGGAGGACCUAAGUUUGUCCCUAGGAGGAUGAGCUUUACUCCUGCUUUCAGAAUUCUGCAGUCCUGGGAGGACAUAGAACUGCACUAGACAUCAGAAUAAAACACUUUAAUCUUCUGUGGACCACACCGUGCCUACUGGAGUCCAUUGCUGGAGACAUACAGAAACAAACAAGUACAAUGCAGUAUGAUACUGUUCUUUUGCAAGGAAAAACACACCCUCCAGGUUUUGAAUUCCUGAAAGGUA